This 245-nucleotide ribosomal RNA is filed under the name uncultured bacterium. RNAcentral's name for it is "partial small subunit ribosomal RNA". It matches the Rfam family "Bacterial small subunit ribosomal RNA", at positions 26 to 285 of the family's 1533-position model. The record is from RNAcentral.
AGAAUCAACGCUGGCGACGUGCCUAACACAUGCAAGUCGCACGAGAAAGGGGAGCAAUCCCUGAGUAAAGUGGCGCACGGGUGAGUAACACGUGAAUAAUCUACCUCCGAGUGGGGAAUAACUGAGAGAAAUCUUAGCUAAUACCGCAUAACACUUACGAGUCAAAGCAGCAAUGCGCUUGGAGAGGAGUUCGCGGCCGAUUAGUUAGUUGGCGGGGUAAUGGCCCACCAAGACGAUGAUCGGUA